This 75-nucleotide transfer RNA is filed under the name Trichonephila inaurata madagascariensis. Its description in RNAcentral is "tRNA-Arg". It matches the Rfam family "tRNA". Rfam says of the family: Transfer RNA (tRNA) molecules are approximately 80 nucleotides in length. Their secondary structure includes four short double-helical elements and three loops (D, anti-codon, and T loops). The record is from RNAcentral. Lineage: Eukaryota; Metazoa; Arthropoda; Arachnida; Araneae; Nephilidae.
UGUUCCUGUAGCGCACUGGAUAGCGCGUUGGACUUCUAAUCCAAAGGUCAUGGGUUCGAAUCCCACCCAGGAUAG